This 692-nucleotide ribosomal RNA is filed under the name uncultured Thermodesulfobacteriota bacterium. RNAcentral's name for it is "bacterial SSU rRNA". It matches the Rfam family "Bacterial small subunit ribosomal RNA", at positions 76 to 748 of the family's 1533-position model. Lineage: Bacteria; Pseudomonadati; Thermodesulfobacteriota. The record is from RNAcentral.
GUAGCAAUACAUCGGCGGUUCUAGUGGCGCACGGGUGAGUAACACGUGGGUAACCUGUCCUUGAGUUCGGGAUACCCUCUCGAAAGGGAGGCUAAUACCGGAUACGUUCCUCGGGUUGCGAAAUCUGAGGAGGAAAGGUGGCGCAAGCUGCCGCUCUUGGAGGGGCUCGCGGCCUAUCAGCUAAUUGGUGAGGUAACGGCUCACCAAGGCUAUGACGGGUAGCUGGUCUGAGAGGACGACCAGCCACACGGGAACUGAGACACGGUCCCGACUCCUACGGGAGGCAGCAGUGGGGAAUUUUCCGCAAUGGGCGAAAGCCUGACGGAGUGACGCCGCGUGGGGGACGAAGGCCUUCGGGUUGUAAACCCCUGUCAGAGGGAAAGAAGGGUGUCGGCGCGAUAACCGCCGGCACUUGACGGUACCUUCAGAGGAAGCCCCGGCCAACUCUGUGCCAGCAGCCGCGGUAAGACAGAGGGGGCAAGCGUUGCUCGGAAUCACUGGGCGUAAAGGGCGCGUAGGCGGGAUGGCAAGUCGGUCGUGAAAUCCCUCGGCUCAACCGAGGAACGUCGGCCGAUACUGCCGUUCUUGAGGGAUGCAGAGGAGACUGGAAUUCCCGGUGUAGCGGUGAAAUGUGUAGAGAUCGGGAGGAACACCGGUGGCGAAGGCGGGUCUCUGGGCAUUUCCUGACGCUG